RNAcentral lists this ribosomal RNA (406 nucleotides) under uncultured bacterium. RNAcentral describes it as "partial 16S ribosomal RNA". It matches the Rfam family "Bacterial small subunit ribosomal RNA", at positions 30 to 526 of the family's 1533-position model. The record is from RNAcentral.
AUUGAACGCUGGCGGCAGGCCUAACACAUGCAAGUCGAACGAGUGGCGGACGGGUGAGUAAUGCCUGGGAAACUGCCUGAUGGAGGGGGAUAACUACUGGAAACGGUAGCUAAUACCGCAUACCAUCAGAUGUGCCCAGAUGGGAUUAGCGAGUUGGUGGGGUAACGGCUCACCAAGGCGACGUACCCUAGCGGGUCUGAGAGGAUGACCAUCCACCCUGGAAGGUGGCCACGGUCCAGCCUCCUACGGUGCGCAGCAGGGGGGAAUAUUGCACAAUGGGCGCAAGCCUGGUGCAGCCAUGCCGCGUGUAUGAAGAAGGCCUUCGGGUUGUACGGUACUGUCAUCGGGGAGGCGUUACCCGCAGAAGAAGCACCGGCUAACUCCGUGCCGGCAGCCGCGGUAAUUC